This 2374-nucleotide long non-coding RNA is filed under the name Centruroides sculpturatus (bark scorpion). RNAcentral describes it as "uncharacterized LOC111632674, transcript variant X2". The record is from RNAcentral. Lineage: Eukaryota; Metazoa; Arthropoda; Arachnida; Scorpiones; Buthidae.
UACAGCAACCACGUUUUCUACAAUAAAACAAUUAACUUCUCUGCAUCUAUCUUUAUAGUUUAGUUUAUUAUAAUCGACUACACGUGCAAAUGAUUCAUAAGAAUUUUAAGAAAUUGCAGUAAAUAAAUAGUAACAGAAUAGCUCGCCAGGUGGCUUAAAAUCGCCGUAGCUGUUUGGAGCGGUCACAAGAUGGCCGAACAAAUAUUAAAUGAGAUAGACUCGCAAAUUUUAAUAUUUCGAAAAUAAUACUGAUUAUUCAGUGAAUAAUUAGAGAAGAGAGAAGUUGCUGAUUAAGCUUCGUUUUAAAUAUAUUGAAGCUGUUUUGAGUUUAAAUGUAGUGAAACGUAAAAAUUGUAAAAUUGCAGUUCUGAACAGUUCUGAACCCUCCAAAUUUUAGAAUGCCAAGACGACCAAAAAGUGAAAGGAACCGUAUCUCUAAUUGCGACCCUUGGAAAUAUAUUAGCAGCCGAAGUUUUCGUGACACCUUUAUUGGCUACGUUUGGCAGACUCAACAGUUGUAACUGAGCAAAUCGGUAACUGUUAUGUAGCAAGCUGGAUCUGCUGAACGACGAGUGACAUUGCAUUGGAACAAAAAGUCUCAUUGGUCAGUUUUGGCUAGCGAUAGGUAGCGUUAAUGAAAGACGCUACGAAACGUGAUGUCGAAACACCAAAUAUGUUCCAAAAGAGUGCUACUGUAAAGGGCGUUCGGCAGAAAAAUACUCGACAGCUCUGGAACUGUUGAGUCUGCUGAACACAGCCAUUAUUAGAAUAUCUGACCAGGCUGUUUGUUAAACCUGUCAUGGGCUUAAUGGGGUGUGUGGUGUGAUUCAUAUUGUGCCCUGGAAGUGGUUGAUGUAAUGGCAUUUCUUGUAUUUUAUGAGCUUUUAACUGUCUAGUAAACUGGAAAAUGGUCGAUUUUUAGCAUUGUUUUGAGAAAUAGUUCUGGAUUUUUGCACUUAAAUUUUACUCCAGUUUUGAGGGUCUUCAGAAUUCCAGAUAGGUGAAUUUGGUACUAUAUCUUCCAAAAGGUCACAUUUACACUAUUGGUACCUUUAUCUUUCUUUUACUUCUAUAGGCAUGGUUUAUGGCUUUGAUAAGGUUUUAUCUGUCUCAUUUGGAGCUUCAAUUUUAACAAUAUUUGAUAUAUAGUUUACAUUAGAACAUGAUUUUAUUUACAGAAAAAGUCUUUCUAACGAUUUUCUUACAAAUUUAAUACUUGAUUAUUUAAUUUUUAGUUGAUUAUGAUUAUCUCAUUUAAAACAUUAAAAAUAAUUCUGGAGAAACCAAAUUAUAUUGUGCCUGUAAUAUGAAGUGUAUUUCAAAUAAAAAGGACUGAAUGAUUAUAAAAAAACAGAAAUACUUUGUCAAAAUUUUAUUAUGUAUUACAAACAUAUGCACGUAACCUUUUCAUUUUUCUAUGCAGUCACAAUUUUUUACAAACACUUUUGGUACUGUGAAACAAGUUUCUUUAUAUCCUCUGCAUAAAAUUCUGCCAUCUGCAAUUUCAACCAGUCCAGCACUGCUGUUUAAGUGGCUUGCAUUUCAAAAAUUUGAAAUGCAAGCCACUUCUUUAAGUUCAGGAAGAGGUGAUAUUCACUGGGUGCAAGGUCAAGACUGUAAGGAAGGGUGAUUAAGCAGUUCUCAUUCAAAUCAUUGAAGCAUCUGAACAGUGGAGGCAGCAGUGUGAGAGCACAGGUUGUACAGGAGAAAAUUUUUUGAUCUCAGCAUUCUAACACACUGUUUCAGAAUGGCAUGUCUCAGUUUUAAAGUGUUUCAUAAUACUCCUUUGCUGUGAUUGUUGUUCCUGGUUUCAGGAAAUCCACCUAAAAGCAUACCUCUUUAGUUGCUGAAAACAGUUGUCAUAAUCUUGUAGGCAGAUCGAUGACUUUGAACUUUUUUGCCAUUGGUGAAUUUUAAUGAUGCCACUGCACGGAUUGUUGUUUGGACUCAGCAUUGCUGUGAGAAAUCCAACUUUCGUCACCAGUUCUCAAUGUGGGAAAAAAAAUUUUUGUUUUUCUCUCUCUGGUAAUGGUUCAAAAUGCAUGUGCAGCUGUCAUUGUGGUUUUUGUGAGAAUUUUCAGUACCCAUCUUGCACACAGUUUUCUGAUAUCCUAAGGUUUCAGUAACAAUUUGGAACAAUAUUGUCUGUGAUAUGUCUGAAAAGUUCAUGGCAAGAGCACUAGUUGUGAAGUGCCGAUUUUCUCAUGCUCUGGUAUUUACAUGUUUAACAAGGUUGUUGGUCUGAACACUAGGCCUACCACUCCACUCUUCAUCAUGAACAUUUAAAUGGCCUUUUUUAAACUCAUGAUACCAUUUUCUUACUUUUCUUCAUUCCUUGUUAUAGGCCCAUAAAUUUCAUACAAUUCACAGUGAA